UGAAUACGAGAUGCUACGGCGUCGAGGCAGUCUAUGUCAUACUUCCAAGAAAAGCUUGCACUGUCAUAAACAAAUAAUGCCUGUACCAUAACCGACACAGGUGGGUAGGUAGAGUAUACUAAGGGGCGCGAGAUAACUCUCUCUAAGGAACUCGGCAAAAUGACUCCGUAACUUCGGGAGAAGGAGUGCCUUAUUUAUAAGGUUGCAAUAACAAGAUCCAAGCAACUGUUUACCAAAAACACAGGUCUCCGCUAAGUCGUAAGACGAUGUAUGGGGGCUGACGCCUGCCCAGUGCCAGAAGGUUAAAGAAGUUGGUUAGCAUCCGCGAAGCUGAUAACUGAAGCCCUGGUGAACGGCGGCCGUAACAAUAACGGUCCUAAGGUAGCGAAAUUCCUUGUCGGGUAAGUUCCGACCCGCACGAAAGGCGUAAUGAUUUGGAUACUGUCUCGGAGAGGGGCUCGGUGAAAUAGACUUGUCUGUGAAGAUGCGGACUACCUGCACCAGGACAGAAAGACCCUAUGAAGCUUUACUGUAACCUGAAAUUGAAAUUGGACUUUACUUGCGCAGUAUAGGUGGGAGGCGUUGAGAAUAUUCUUGCGGGAUUAUUGGAGCCAUCAGUGAGAUACCACUCUUGUAAUGUUAGAUUUCUAACUUUGUAUCAUUAUCUGGUCAAAGAACAGUUUCAGGCGGGCAGUUUGACUGGGGCGGUCGCCUCCUAAACGGUAACGGAGGCGCACUAAGGUUUCCUCUAAACGGGUAGAAAUCGUAUCUAGAGUGUAAAGGCAUAAGGAAGCUUGACUGUGAGACCUACAAGUCGAGCAGGGACGAAAGUCGGUCUUAGUGAUCUGACGGUGCUGAGUGGAAAGGCCGUCACUCAACGGAUAAAAGUUACUCUAGGAUAACAGGCUGAUCUCCCCCAAGAGUUCACAUCGACGGGGAGGUUUGGCACCUCGAUGUCGGCUCAUCACAUCCUGGGGCGGUAGUACGUCCCAAGGGUUGGGCUGUUCGCCCAUGAAAGCGGUACGCGAGCUGGGUUCAGAACGUCGUGAGACAGUUCGGUCCAUAUCCGGUGUAGGCGUUAGAAUAUUGAGAGGAGCCUUCUUUAGUACGAGAGGACCGAGAAGGACAUACCUCUGGUGUACCAGUUAUCGUGCCAACGGUAAACGCUGGGUAGCUAUGUGUGGAGUGGAUAACCGCUGAAAGCAUCUAAGUGGGAAGCCCACCUCAAGAUAAGUAUUCUCACC
This 1244-nucleotide ribosomal RNA is filed under the name metagenome. RNAcentral's name for it is "bacterial LSU rRNA". It matches the Rfam family "Bacterial large subunit ribosomal RNA", at positions 1564 to 2818 of the family's 2925-position model. The record is from RNAcentral.